UACGGGGGGGGCAAGCGUUGUUCGGAAUUACUGGGCGUAAAGGGCUCGUAGGCGGCCAACUAAGUCAGACGUGAAAUCCCUCGGCUUAACCGGGGAACUGCGUCUGAUACUGGAUGGCUAGAGGUUGGGAGAGGGAUGCGGAAUUCCAGGUGUAGCGGUGAAAUGCGUAGAUAUCUGGAGGAACACCGGUGGCGAAGGCGGCAUCCUGGACCAAUUCUGACGCUGAGGAGCGAAAGCCAGGGGAGCAAAGCGGG
This 254-nucleotide ribosomal RNA is filed under the name uncultured bacterium. RNAcentral describes it as "partial 16S ribosomal RNA". It matches the Rfam family "Bacterial small subunit ribosomal RNA", at positions 524 to 777 of the family's 1533-position model. The record is from RNAcentral.